This 482-nucleotide ribosomal RNA is filed under the name uncultured bacterium. Its description in RNAcentral is "bacterial SSU rRNA". It matches the Rfam family "Bacterial small subunit ribosomal RNA", at positions 32 to 490 of the family's 1533-position model. The record is from RNAcentral.
AAUCAACGCUGGCGGCGUGCCUCAGACAUGCAAGUCGAACGCGAAAGUCCCCUUCGGGGGGCAAGUAGAGUGGCGCACGGGUGAGUAACACGUAGGUAAUCUACCUUUGGAUGGGGAAUAACAACCGGAAACGGUUGCUAAUACCGCAUAAUGCAGCGGCACCUAAUGGUGACAGUUGUUAAAGCGGGGGAUCGAAAGACCUCGCGUCUGAAGAGGAGCCUGCGGCGGAUUAGCUAGUUGGUAAGGUAACGGCUUACCAAGGCAACGAUCCGUAGCCGGCCUGAGAGGGCGGUCGGCCACACUGACACUGACAUACGGGUCAGACUCCUACGGGAGGCAGCAGUCGGGAAUUUUGGGCAAUGGGCGAAAGCCUGACCCAGCAACGCCGCGUGAAGGAUGAAAUCCCUCGGGAUGUAAACUUCGCAAGAAUGGGAAGAAUAAGUGUGGGCUAAUACCCUCAUGAUGACGGUACCAUUUGUAAG